GAUGAAGAACGUAGCGAAAUGCGAUAAGUAAUGUGAAUUGCAGAAUUCCGUGAAUCAUCGAAUCUUUGAACGCACAUUGCGCCCUCUGGUAUUCCGGGGGGCAUGCCUGUCCGAGCGUCAUUGCAAACCCUCAAGCCCGGCUUGUGUGUUGGGCCCCGUCCUCCGAUCCCGGGGGACGGGCCCGAAAGGCAGCGGCGGCACCGCGUCCGGUCCUCGAGCGUAUGGGGCUUUGUCACCCGCUCUGUAGGCCCGGCCGGCGCUUGCCGAUCAACCCAAAUUUUUAUCCAGGUUGACCUCGGAUCAGGUAGGGAUACCCGCUGAACUUAAGCAUAUCAAUAAGCGGAGGA
RNAcentral lists this unclassified non-coding RNA (347 nucleotides) under soil metagenome. RNAcentral's name for it is "partial contains 5.8S ribosomal RNA, internal transcribed spacer 2, and large subunit ribosomal RNA". The stretch from base 1 to 120 matches the Rfam family "5.8S ribosomal RNA", at positions 35 to 154 of the family's 154-position model. The record is from RNAcentral.